Molecule: long non-coding RNA, 4914 nt
Organism: Myxocyprinus asiaticus (Chinese sucker)
Lineage: Eukaryota; Metazoa; Chordata; Actinopteri; Cypriniformes; Catostomidae
Exons: 4
Source: RefSeq, a predicted model, not a curated record
AGGCGGGCUCGUUUUGUUUGUGAGACUAAUGUGUAAAAUCAUAUACGGUUUUACAACAUAAAUGCUGCUCAGAUUGCAUAAUUUGUUGGCGAAAUGUAAAUAUUUGUCGGAUUUAUCACUUUUAUGGACAAAAACUGCACUGGACGCUUGUCAUGGAUUAUUUACCCAAGUGUGGCGGGUUGGAUUAAUCUGGCGAUCGCUUUUUCAUAAUAAAGAGAUUCAGAACAUUGGCUCCAGAGGCGAACCAGACACCAACCGCAGUUCCUCCAUGUUCAGAACUGAAAUUCCUGUAAGCCACCCUCUCAAACAUCUCCAUCAUGCAUCCCUGGACUCCCAUUUUCCAAGCCAUCUCCCCCCGAACCCUCCAAGCAUACUGGAAAGCUUGGAAAUGUUUCAAGAUUUACCACGAAACUUUCAAACUGUCUUUCCCCAAUUUUUCUUCAUCUUCUAUCUCAUCAUUUUGUCUCAUGUCUCAACCACAUCAAAGGUUUUUACUCCAGGACAAUUAAGGGGUACCUGAGCAGCAUCCACUUCUUCAACAAACUAAUCUUCGGCAAAAUCUCCCCCCAGCUACAGGUGUCACAGACCCCUCCAGCACAAUAGCAGCUCCUGCGAGAGCUCAUUUUUAUGUGGCAGUAACCUCCACAGUUUCCUUUGCGUUUCCGCUUAUUCUUUACUCUAUCCCUUUCCUCCUUCUCAUUGAGACUUUCUCCAUUCCAAUACAUGUGACUUAACCCAUCGCUUUUGUGGCUCCGAUGUUAGCGACUCGCUGCCCCGGUUAUGACUUCUUUUGGGGGGUAUUCAAGCUCGGGUCAAGUCUUGAACCUCGACCCCUCCGCCAGGGACAGUGAGUCAAAACAAGUUUACACUAUCCUCUCCUGGAUUACAUUAACAUGCAAACUACUGAAACUCAAUAUUUGUGUUACGGGCCUGGGUAGCUCACCAAGUAAAGCCUGAGUAGCUCAGCGAGUAAAGACGUUGACUACCACCCCUGGAGUCGCGAGUUCGAAUCCAUGGCGUGCUAAGUGACUCCAGCCAGGUCUCCUAAGCAACCAAAUUGGCCCGGUUGCUAGGGAGCAUAGAGUCACAUGGGGUUACCUCCUCGUGGUCGCGAUUAGGGGUUCUCGCUCUCAGUGGGGCGCGUGGUAAGUGACUUAUCCUCCACUACCCGGAUUGAGAUGAGCAACCGCACCACCAUGAGGACUAAGUAGUGGGAAUUGGGCAUUCCAAAUUGGGAGAAAAAGGGGAUAAAAAAUAAAUACAAAUAUUUGAUGCAUUGCAUAAUUUUACAGUUUUGUUAAUAAAUUCAGUAUGCUCACACGUCAUGAAUGUGAGAUCAAACCAUGCAUUUCUUGAAUUCAAGCAGAUAAGGGCUAUAUCUGGGGCCAAUGAAAUUCAAAUCCAAAGACAGAAACAAAUAAUAUAAGAGAGAUUUUUAUUAUGUUUCAAAAGCAAGUGAAAAAAACAAUAAUAUUGCAUAUUUUGUCGCACUGAAAUGCUCAUUCUACAGUAUGGCAUUGAUUUUGAGUUCAGUGCAGAUGUAUAUUUUUUGGUAUUAACAACAGUAAGGUUAUCUAUAACAUCUAUAACAAUUACAACCUAGUUUAUGUGUCUAAAUUAUUCUGACAGUGUGACUCAGUUGGAACUCCUUUCAUCAGGUUCUUUUGAUUCAAAUUCUGUCAUCUCUUGGAAUUUCUGAAGGCAAACAAAGCCAGUUAUAUUUUCUUACACUCAAAAAAAUAUUUUAGCCAAUUUUUGUUUUAGGAUAUACGCAUUUCUAUUUCAUCUAAAAACAACAAUUUUUUUUAAAUUGUUUAUUUUGCAUUUUCCCUUAUAAAAAUGUAAAUGUAUGUAUUUAUUUAUUUAUUGUUUAUAAUUUUAACAGUGGUAUUUGUAACAAGACCAUGGUAAGCACAUGGAAGAUGGAUGGUUAGAUUUCUAUAAAACAAACUAUUGCAGUUUUGUAAUUAUAAACAGGAGGCCUCUAAAACAAUAAAUACAAAAUAUAAACCUUUAUAAGUUUCACAGACACACUAAGCUCUACUUUAACAACCUGUCUAGACAUCAUCUGUCCUAUCUCCUCAAGGCCAGCACAUGCUACACCACCCAGCCCCUGGCUGUCUGAUGUCCUUCGUGAACAUCGGACUGACCUCAGGGCAGCUGAGAGGAGAUGGCGGAAAUCUAAAGAUCCAGCAGAUCUAGAACAAGCAGCUGGAUGACAAUCAGUCAGGCUUUAAAAGUGGACACCACCGAGACCGCCCUGCUGUCUGUCACCGAGUCGCUAAGAUGGGCGAAAGCUGAAUCAAGAUCAUCAGUCCUGAUUCUGCUGGACCUUUCUGCAGCCUUUGACACAGUCAACCAUCAGAUCUUACUCUCUACCCUCUCCUCGCUGGGCAUCACAGGAACUGUGCUUGACUGGUUUAAUUCCUGUCUCUCAGCCCAACGACACCACAGUGACUGCUCGAAUUUCUGCCUGCCUGGCAGACAUCUCGGCCUGGAUGAAGGAGCGCCACCUGCAACUCAACCCAGCCAAGACUGAACUCCUUGUCUUUCCAGCCAACCCUGAUGUUGAACACAACAUCACCGCGCAGCUGGGUGCAACUACAGUAACACCUUCCAAAUCGGUCAGAAAUCUAGGGGUAACCAUCGACAACGGACUAAAUUUCACAGACCACAUCUCAAAGACCGCAAGAUCAUGUAGAUUUACACUCUACAAUAUCAGGAAGAUAAGACCCUUCCUCUCUGAACAUGCCACACAACUUCUUGUCCAGUCACUUGUCAUAACUAGACUGGACUACUGUAACACUCUCAUUGCAGGCCUCCCUGCAUGUGCAACUAGACCCCUCCAAAUGAUCCAGAAUGCAGCAGCACGUCUGGUCUUUAAUGAACCAAAGAGAGCACAUGUUACAUCACUCCUUGUCUCUCUCCACUGGCUACCGGUUGAUGCAUGUAUCAAAUUCAAGGCUCUGAUGCUGGCAUACAGAACAGUCACUGGGUCUGCUCCAGCAUACCUAAAAUCAUUUAUGCAGAGCUACGCACCCACUAGAAGUUUGCGGUCGGCUAAGGAACAUCGCCUUGUUGUACCAACACAAAGAGGCACCAAAACACUUUCCCGGACUUUCAGCUUCAUCAUACCACGUUGAUGGAACGACCUUCCCAACUCCAUCCGUGAAGCUGACUCACUCUCUGUCUUCAAAAAAUGACUAAAAACACAUCUUUGCCAUGAGCACUUAACCAGUCAUUAAAAAAUAAAUAAAUAAAUUCUGUUGCACCGGGGCCUGGGUAGCUCAGUGGUAAAAUACGCUGGCUACCACCCCUGGAGUUCGCUAGUUCGCUAGUUCGAAUCCCAGGGUGUGCUGAGUGACUCCAGCCAGGUCUCCUAAGCAACCAAAUUGGCCCGGUUGCUAGGGAGGGUAGAGUCACAUGGGAUAACCUCCUCGUGGUCGCUAUAAUGUGGUUUGUUCUCGGUGGGGCGCAUGGUGAAUUGAGCAUGGUUGCCGCGGUGGAUGGCGUGAAGCCUCCACACGCGCUAUGUCUCCGUGGCAACACGCUCAACAAGCCACGUGAUAAGAUGCGCGGGUUGACUGUCUCAGACGCGGAGGCAACUGGGAUUCGUCCUCCGCCACCCGGACUGAGGCGAAUCACUAUGUGACCACGAGGACUUAGAGCGCAUUGGGAAUUGGGCGUUCCAAAUUGGGAGAAAAAGGGGAAAAAUCCCAAAAAAAAUAAAAAAAUAAAUAAAUUCUGUUGCACUUUAUUCUGUUUUGAAUACUAUUAUGAUGCUAGUGAUACUUUGUAAUACAGCACUUUUCAUACCACUGUCUCCUAAGAUGAUUCGCUUAUGUUUUCCUCUCUUGUAAGUCGCUUUGGAUAAAAGCGUCUGCCAAAUGAAUAAAUGUAAAUGUAAAUGUAAAUAACAAUAUUUUGACACAUACCUGAUUUGUUGCACCUGUUUGCAUUCAUGUCAGACAUAAGCAAUUGUUUUUGUAAAGCACUUGUGGGAUGGGCAUUGACCAUGAAGCAUUUAACCAUUCAAUGGAAGCAAAGAAAUCUCACCUGUCAUACAAAUGAAUUUACAUGAACAAUGUUACAACAUUGCUUAUUGUAUUAGUGACCUAGAAAUCGUUUAGAAUCUUAAAUAUUUCUUAAUAUUUUUUACCAUAUAAUUUAUUUGUUUUCAAAAUCCUUUGAAAACAAAGAACAAUUCAUCUAAGCAAACAUGAUGGGCAAUACAAAGUAAGACUAUUACAAGUCACUCUGUUAUAUACACCAAAAAACAACGUGCAAAUUAACACAUGAAAAAAUAAAGCCUACUGGGCAGACUAGGUUCGAGAAAGUAUUGUUACUACAAGGGGAAAUAUUAAUAACAGAGCUGAUAUUUUUCCCUGUGUCUUUGGCUGCACUCUACUCCGAGAAAUCACGUGACAUCUACAUGCAACAUGCCCAGUGUUCGGCAAGUUUGGAAUUUUGUCUCGGAGCGCCACCUAGUGUAUACUAAUGCUAACGAAGCAAAAAUAAAUGUAUUACAGAAAUGUCUAGUGCUAUGUGUGUGUUUUGAGAGAUAACUAGAGCUCUCAUGAUGUUAUAUUAAUAAUUUGCAACGGAGUAUUACAUUUUUAAAUGGCACAAAUAUUGUCCUGAACUAUUAACACAACAAUGAGCAGUCCUGCGCGCGUGCGCCGUAAACAUUAAAAUGAAAGUAAAAUGCUGCCAGCUGCAUAAAUGUUUUGGGGAACAACUGACCAAUCUGCACGAAGCAGCAAAUUUAACCUACAGAGCGACGAUGUUUGAGAUUUCCACCAUACACAAGAUAUUUAUCAUCAGAUUUGCAUUGUUUUUGGCUGGUUUUGCUGCAUUUUGGUGAUCAAGACCGCUAAAUACAGUUCAGUUUAAUACAGUGCAUCCGGAAAGUAU